Molecule: long non-coding RNA, 1000 nt
Organism: Lolium rigidum
Lineage: Eukaryota; Viridiplantae; Streptophyta; Magnoliopsida; Poales; Poaceae
Exons: 2
Source: RefSeq, a predicted model, not a curated record
GAGAGAGAGAGAGAGAGAAAGCAUGCACCAAAUGCAGGCGACCUAUGGAUCAAAGGAGCCCUUUUCCUGCUAUAUUUGUUGCUUUCUGCUGCUGGAAGGGAUGGAAUGCAGGGAAGGAAGGACUGAAACGGCGAGAGUGCAUGGGAAUUUGGGUUGGCUGGGUUUUUGCUAGUGUCUGUUCCGGGAGGUUCUUUGCUGCUUUUGUUUCGGGAGGUUGGGGAUGGUGGAGAGAAGAGGCAACGGAGGGUGGUGGCCUUUGUCUUUCCUUCUUUAUUUAAUGGUGUGGUAAGGUGUGUGGCUGUGAACGGAAGAUUCCCUCUGAAUUUUGUUACUAAACCUGAAUGAUUUGGUCUAGCUAGUGCUCAAAGUACACUUUAACAUAUCUGAAAAAAGUACUCUUAAACAAAGAAACAGAAAGAUGUUGCCACACUGUGUACCCCGUCAAUUGCUACAGGUAUUUGCCAGGAUUGACAGAAGCUGCUAGUCAUUUCUGAACUGUCACUUAGGCUAUACCAUCACCUCUAGUCCUGUACACCAGGACAUGCUACGUAGAAAUUACCAACAUUUUUUUUUACAGCAGACCAGGAGCAGCACUAGAAUGGUACCAGCGUACUGCAGCUUUCACCUACACUUGUCGUGAACUGUGAAGGAGAGAGGGGAGAGGCCUUGAAGUUGCAAUGGAAGCUCACCCAAUCCACCUGAUCGACCUGGGCACAGGUGGGCGAUACCCAUGGGAUCAUGUGAUGAUGUUCUUUGUCCGGAAAUUGCCAUCUCUGGGGCGUGCAAAGUGGCAAGUCCGAACGGCCUUCACGAUCGACGACCUAACAAAAGGUACGUAGAGCCAACCGUCACUCCACAUGUCUACCACGACAUUCUCGCGAAAACGGUGGAUCUUCGAUUUGACCGCUGUCGAACGCGGCGUGCGUGUAUGUUUCCCAAGAUGUGGGUGAAAUUCUCACGUUCCUGAUCGGAGCCUGGCUACUAACAUCUUUUAACUGAA